RNAcentral lists this ribosomal RNA (517 nucleotides) under Janibacter sp. enrichment culture isolate DGGE gel band 6. RNAcentral describes it as "bacterial SSU rRNA". It matches the Rfam family "Bacterial small subunit ribosomal RNA", at positions 337 to 865 of the family's 1533-position model. Lineage: Bacteria; Bacillati; Actinomycetota; Actinomycetes; Micrococcales; Intrasporangiaceae. The record is from RNAcentral.
UCCUACGGGAGGCAGCAGUGGGGAAUAUUGCACAAUGGGCGAAAGCCUGAUGCAGCGACGCCGCGUGAGGGAUGACGGCCUUCGGGUUGUAAACCUCUUUCAGCAGGGAAGAAGCGAAAGUGACGGUACCUGCAGAAGAAGCACCGGCUAACUACGUGCCAGCAGCCGCGGUAAUACGUAGGGUGCGAGCGUUGUCCGGAAUUAUUGGGCGUAAAGAGCUUGUAGGCGGUUUGUCGCGUCUGCUGUGAAAAUCCGGGGCUCAACCCCGGACUUGCAGUGGGUACGGGCAGACUAGAGUGUGGUAGGGGAGACUGGAAUUCCUGGUGUAGCGGUGAAAUGCGCAGAUAUCAGGAGGAACACCGAUGGCGAAGGCAGGUCUCUGGGCCACUACUGACGCUGAGAAGCGAAAGCAUGGGGAGCGAACAGGAUUAGAUACCCUGGUAGUCCAUGCCGUAAACGUUGGGCGCUAGGUGUGGGACUCAUUCCACGAGUUCCGUGCCGCAGCUAACGCAUAAGC